This 253-nucleotide ribosomal RNA is filed under the name uncultured bacterium. RNAcentral describes it as "partial 16S ribosomal RNA". It matches the Rfam family "Bacterial small subunit ribosomal RNA", at positions 524 to 776 of the family's 1533-position model. The record is from RNAcentral.
UACGUAGGUGACCAGCGUUGUCCGGAUUUACUGGGCGUAAAGAGCGCGUAGGCGGAUUGUUAAGUCUGUUGUGAAAGCCCCGGGCUCAACCUAGGAAUGGCAAUGGAUACUGGCAAGCUAGAGUGCGGUAGAGGGUAGUGGAAUUCCCGGUGUAGCGGUGAAAUGCGUAGAGAUGUGGAGGAACACCAGUGGCGAAGGCGACUUUCUGGUCUGUAACUGACACUGAGGCGCGAAAGCGUGGGGAGCGAACAGG